This 903-nucleotide unclassified non-coding RNA is filed under the name Hevea brasiliensis (rubber tree). The record is from RNAcentral. Lineage: Eukaryota; Viridiplantae; Streptophyta; Magnoliopsida; Malpighiales; Euphorbiaceae.
CAAAUUUGACCCAUGGUGGAGGAUAUCAUGUUGAGACUACAAGACUGGGGAAGCUUUCUCAAUUGAAUGCAUGCAAGGAAGUUGAGAUGGUGGAGAGUGGGAAUGAUGGUCAUCAGCCUACAACAAAUGGAAGCAAACAAAAGAGAGGACAUAGUGUUUCUGCAAGCAUGCCCUCUGCAGAUAAGGUUCUCUCUCUCUUUUUCUACCCCCUCCUUUUUUUUUUUCCUUUUUCUAUGAGACGUCUUGUUUUGCUAUCAAGUGGUGGUGCGGUUUUCAUCAAUUUGUAGUACAAAUAGCAAGCUUUCUUUGUGUUUUGCAUAUAUAUUUUCAUCAUGAGUUCAUGACAUCAAGACCUUCACUGAUAAAAAUAUAAGAUUACCUUGGUAAAGCAACAAGUGAGAACUGUUGCCAGGAGUAUAGGAAGGCACAAGUUGUGGUUCACAUUUUAAAUGUCUUAUAAUAUUAUUAACACAUCACAAAGUUUGUUUGGAAAUGCAAUGUGGUGUCAACAAAUCUAGAGUUGGUUGUUCUAGAACUCUUGUAGUAUUGCAGCACCACUAUGUCCUAAUGUUUGGUAGGUUAUAACUGCACCUUUUCUUCUUUGUUCACCCCCACCCGCCAACAACCCCCCUCUGCGCACGCGCACACGUGCUCUCCGCUCCUCCUUAUAGGGGCAAUUAUUAUGUUUGCUUACUUGGACUUAUGAUGUAGAACAAGAAAACAACGUUGUUUGUUUCUUCACCUCUUUGGAAAUAUUAGAAUGGAUAAAAUCAAUGAAAAUAACAAUUGAAAGGCUUUUUGAUUCACUAGGAAUUCGAGAGUUUGAUCUUCUACUUGCCCUAAGAUUCGUCAAGAUUGGCGUGCUCAUUCUCAUCACCUUUAGCUUCUUUCUCUAGAAUAGGU